This 119-nucleotide ribosomal RNA is filed under the name Pteropus alecto (black flying fox). RNAcentral also lists the same sequence under 1 other name. Lineage: Eukaryota; Metazoa; Chordata; Mammalia; Chiroptera; Pteropodidae. The record is from RNAcentral.
GUCCACGGCCAUGCUACCCUGAACAAGCCUGAUCCUGCCUGAUGUUGGAAGCUAAGCAGAGUCGGGCCUGGUUAGUACUUGGAUGGGAGACCACCUAGCAAGACCAGGUGCCAUAGGUA